AAUUUUUCUAGAGAAUAGUAACUGCCAAUCACAGUUGGUGUUGGUUAGGUCUAUUUAGUAUGGACGAUCUCACAGCUGUCCACCUCAAGACGAGAAAAGCGAAGUGGCUUCACUCAGCGUCUGUCCUCCGACAUAAGCAGUACUAAAUAAUGUAGUCUGAUCAGAACUUGGUGUUAACCAUGGCUUCCAUGCCAGCUUUAGGCUUUUUUUUAGUAUUUGGCUCUGGAACCUUUUGUUCCAGCAGCAUUUUUAGUCUUUUGCCUCUGUAGUCGCUUUAAUUGAGAAGAGAGAGAGAGAGUAUCAAAUUGUCACCUCACAAUGGAGAUUUUUCUCCUAUAACCGCUACUAAAGCGGUGUAAGUACGGGGAUCAACGUACGAAUCCAUCAUUUCAUGGGUUCAUGAACGUGUGUCUUUAAGCCGCUGAGACGCCUCUGAAUCGAUGGCCGUCCUAGCUUGGGGUAUGCUGUCUCCUGUCCAUCUGGACGUGUAGAGCUCGAUCACCGAGCCUAGAUUCAAUUUGAAGAAACAGCUAUGAGUGUUGCAUCAAAGACCACCAAGUCUUGUGAAUGGCGAUUUUGCGUUUGAUUGAGCUGAUAGACGAUGGCUGCAGUGUUGAGUCUUGAUGUUGUCCGUGAUGCUGAUCUUCAAUAGCGGGUCUGGUGAGCCAACAUACUGUAAGGUUGGUGCCGAGACAAACAUUGUCUAUCCUUUAUUAUAUUGUUUGAGAUGUUCGUCUAUCAAAAUUUAGUUAUCUGAUUAGUACUGGAAUUUCAGUUGUUUGAUAAUAUUUCAUUGGUAGGGUCAGUAAUGUGCUAUAAAAAUAUAGGGUGUAUUUUGUGGUCUGGCAUUGUAAAGAGAGUUGUCAGACGUGAUAGGGUUUGUUAACGUUUCCUUUAGGCUGUGGUAAUUUUUUUUUGAGCUUAGAUAGGUAGAUGUGAGAAAUCUUAUCUGUUGAAGUUGUAGUUUUGUUUGAUGAAUUAAGUAUCUGGAGUGAGUGUCGCCAGUUGUAAGGGGCACUACUCAGAUGAGGUCCAUAUGACAAAUCAAGGUUAAUAGCUGGGACUAUCCUUGUUGUAUUUGUGGAAUGGAAGAUAGAAUUUUAGCAAAAGGUACUCAGAGUAGUAUGAGCUAAAAUUAGGUUUUAUUCUGGUGACUGGUGUGGUUCCUUUCUGAAGAUUUAUGGGGGUCUGAAGAAAAUAGAUGGAAUGCUAACCAAGAUCAGGAUUUUUUUUUGAAAUUUUAGGGUAAGCCUCAGUUGAAAGGUUCGUUAGAUUGAUAGCUGGGAAUGGCCACAAUACACUGUCAAAAUUUAUUAUCUAAUUUCUUGGGAUAAAAUUUAUCUAAAUAAUGUGGGUAGUGAAAAUCUAAAGUUUUAUUUAAUAGGAAAAAGGUUAUAUUAUUAAUAAGUCAAUGUGAAUUUGAAAUGAGUAUAAUAAAUGAGAGAAAAAUUGAGAAAAGUUUAAUUGGGAUUUUGUAAUAAUAAAUAGUAUACUGCUAUAGUUAAUUUGGUGAUACAGACAGUGGAAAGUAAUUUAUUUCAAUACAGAGAAAUUGGGGAAAUUAAAAAUAAAUAAAUAAUAUUUGAAUUGUAUGGUGAUAAUUGAUUAUGAGAAUUAAUUUUACUUGGUGAUAGGAUAAUUGAUUAUUUUUUGUUGCAGUAUUGUGAGGAUAAAUUAGGGAGAUUCAAUAAAUUAUAGUGUUGGUUUAGUAUGGUGACCUUGAAUUUUUAUAGAUAUUAUUUGAUGGGUAAUAAUAAAGUGAAGAAUAAUAAUUGAAUAAGAUAGACAGGAUAUAGAAUCAUGUCCUAUAUUAAUUGCAGCAAAAGUUGAUUAAUAUUACAAGGGGAAGAAACGGGAAAUGUAGAAAAAUAGGAAAAGUAGUUCUUUAAUAUAACAUAAACAUGGAAAAAUGAUUGAAUAAAACAAAAAAAUAGAAAAUAGGAAACGGGAAGAAAAUCUAGGUAACUCAAUUUUUCACAACUUUUGUGAUGAUAAAAAAAAGGGAAUAUGUAACGGGAAAUGGAACAGGUUUCAGUACUAUAGAAUAUGGAACUAUUUUUUUAUUAAUCUUGAGAAAAUGCUUAUGUUGUUUGCUUUAGCUUGUCUUUGUCAAUGGAAUUCUUAAAAUAAAGGUUUGAGUUUCUGAAGGUUCUUCUUUGAGUGUGGUAGGCAGUAUAAAAUUUUGUUCAAAUAUUUUUUGUGGAGCUUAGUUCAGUUAUAUACUAGUCGAUAGUGGAAAAUUUUCUUUAUGAUAUGGUUCAGUGUCUGUUAUCAUGAUCAUUGGCCUAGGCGUUUGUACUGUCAUAUUUCUUCAUGUGCUGGAGAAAUGAGUUUAAUUGAGUAUACAAGGAGAAGAUAGUAAGUAGUAAUUUGAUGUGUUGAGAGAAUAUUGUAGUAAGUUAUUUUUUUUGAGUUGCCAAGGUCCAUUAGUUGUGAUACUGUGGUUGUACCAAGGUGAUAGGAAGCACAAAUAGUAGGUAUACUGGUGUAUGUAUAUUGUCCUCAAAUGUUGCUGUCCCAAGUGAGUAAUGAGUAACGGAAAUUAAGUGGUAAUGAUGUACUGAAUAGUUGUAUCUCUGUUUGUGAAACAGUGAAGAUCUUAGUCUUUUCCAAAAGGGAAAAUUCAGAAUUGUAGCGUAGGUGUUGCUGGGUAAUUGUGGGACAAUUCGCGAUGUCCUUUAUCUUUAGCUAAAACCGACGUUAUUUUGUUGCACGAAAUUGCAAGGAACGAGAUGGAGAGUAUAAAUGGGUGAUAUGAGUUUUGUUGCUAAGUUGAUACGUGUAUCAAGGUCAACGUGUAUCAUGAUACGUAAGCUGCUAACAUCGUUGCAUGUGAGUUAACUCUGUGUAGUUAUUGGCUUCAUGACAUUGAAAAGCGGUUGCAUACGUAGGUCAGGGUUGCUUUGACAUGAGGCGGCCGUCAGCUGUUUCAGUGGUGAGAUGCGUCAAAUGUCAGUUGCUCGAUUUUAACAACUUGUCGAGUUAUGAUGGUCUGGUCAUAUGAUUGUGAUAAUUUGAUAAUUUUUUUUAAUUUGUUGUUUCUAUUUAAAAUUUUUUUGUUGAGGUUAGCUAUGGGAUAAUCUGAUUAUGAACUUAACAGCAGAGGAUUGAUUGGAGAGUCUCUUUAAAUAUUUUGGUCGUUUUAUUAAUUUUGAUUUUAUUUUGUCACUGUUGAUUGAUGUCUAUUACUGGUUGUUUAGCUUCAUAUGAGACAGGGCCCGUCUAGAUGUGGAGUUUGGCAGCCGGUUUUGCACAAUUUCUAGUUGACUUUACAAAAUUUUUGGUGUCUUAUGUUGCAAAAUUUUACGAGUUUUCCACAAGGUUUUCUUAGAUAUCUUGAUUAUUCCAAAUUAGUUGAUUACCUUCAUGGUGAUUUGUCUUAACUUUUGUGAGAUCGAAAUUUGUUGCUAGUCCACUUGGUUAUUUAAAAA
This 3431-nucleotide long non-coding RNA is filed under the name Nilaparvata lugens (brown planthopper). RNAcentral describes it as "uncharacterized LOC120351833". The record is from RNAcentral. Lineage: Eukaryota; Metazoa; Arthropoda; Insecta; Hemiptera; Delphacidae.